GAACGGCUCAUUAUAACAGCUAUAAUGUACUUGAUCUUGAUAAUCCUACUUGGAUAACUGUGGUAAUUCUAGAGCUAAUACAUGCACCAAAGCUCCGACUAACGGACGAGCGCAUCUAUUAGAUUAAAACCAAUCGGUGUUUUCGCACACCGUCUGUUGGUGACUCUGAAUAGCUAUGGCUGAUCGCAUGGUCUUGUACCGGCGACGUAUCUAUCAAGUGUCUGCCUUAUCAACUUUCGAUGGUAGUUUAUGUGCCUACCAUGGUUGUAACGGGUAACGGAGAAUAAGGGUUCGACUCCGGAGAGGGAGCCUGAGAAACGGCUACCACAUCCAAGGAAGGCAGCAGGCGCGCAAAUUACCCACUCUCGGCAUGAGGAGGUAGUGACGAAAAAUAACGAGACCGUUCUCUUCGAGGCCGGUUAUCGGAAUGGGUACAAUUUAAACCCGUUAACGAGGAUCUAUGAGAGGGCAAGUCUGGUGCCAGCAGCCGCGGUAAUUCCAGCUCUCAAAGUGUAUAUCGUCAUUGCUGCGGUUAAAAAGCUCGUAGUUGGAUCUGCGCCUCAGGACCCGGUCCGUCCAUUGGACGAGAACUGGGCGCCUGGGCUAUACACUGUCGGUUUUCGCAGCGUUUCCUUCACCGGACGCGCUGUGUGGCCGGCGAGUUUACCUUGAAAAAAUUAGAGUGCUCAAAGCGGGCCUACGCCUGAAUACUCGUGCAUGGAAUAAUGGAAUAGGA
This 736-nucleotide ribosomal RNA is filed under the name Rhabdochona kidderi. Its description in RNAcentral is "SSU rRNA". It matches the Rfam family "Eukaryotic small subunit ribosomal RNA", at positions 91 to 827 of the family's 1831-position model. Lineage: Eukaryota; Metazoa; Nematoda; Chromadorea; Rhabditida; Rhabdochonidae. The record is from RNAcentral.